This 465-nucleotide ribosomal RNA is filed under the name uncultured bacterium. RNAcentral describes it as "bacterial SSU rRNA". It matches the Rfam family "Bacterial small subunit ribosomal RNA", at positions 30 to 507 of the family's 1533-position model. The record is from RNAcentral.
AGUGAACGCUGGCGGCAGGCCUAAUACAUGCAAGUCGAACGGCAGCACAGCAGAGCUUGCUCUGUGGGUGGCGAGUGGCGGACGGGUGAGGAAUACAUGGGAAUCUGCCCAGUCGUGGGGGAUAACGUAUGGAAACGUACGCUAAUACCGCAUGCGCCCUACGGGGGAAAGCCGGGACCGCAAGGCCUGGCGCGAUUGGAUGAGCCCAUGUUCGAUUAGCUAGUUGGCGGGGUAAUGGCUCACCAAGGCGAUGAUCGGUAGCUGGUCUGAGAGGACGAUCAGCCACACGGGAACUGAGAAACGGUCCCGACUCCUACGGGGGGCAGCAGUGAGGAAUAUUGGGCAAUGGACGAAAGUCUGACCCAGCAACGCCGCGUGGAGGAUGAAGGUUUUUGGAUUGUAAACUCCUUUUGUGGGGGAAGAGUGAGGACGGUACCCCAAGAAUAAGUCACGGCUAACUACGUG